CCUACGGGAGGCUGCAGUCGAGGAUCUUCGGCAAUGGGCGCAAGCCUGACCGAGCGACGCCGCGUGCGGGAUGAAGGCCUUCGGGUUGUAAACCGCUGUCAGGGGGGAUGAAAUCAUGGUGGGUACUCCCAUCAUGUUGACAGAGCCCCAGAGGAAGCGCGGGCUAAGUUCGUGCCAGCAGCCGCGGUAAUACGAACUGCGCGAACGUUUUUCGGAAUCACUUGCGUUGGAGGCAUCGAAGGUGGGAUCGGAAAUGCCUUGGCUCAACCAAGGCACAGCGCUCUAAACUACUUUGCUUGAGGGAGUCAGGGGUGCACGGAACUUCCGGUGGAGCGGUGAAAUGUGUUGAUAUCGGAAGGAACACCGGCGGCGAAAGCGGUGCACUGGGGCUUAACUGACACUGAGGCACGAAAGCCAGGGGAGCGAACGGGAUUAGAUACCCUAGUAGUC
RNAcentral lists this ribosomal RNA (450 nucleotides) under uncultured bacterium. Its description in RNAcentral is "partial 16S ribosomal RNA". It matches the Rfam family "Bacterial small subunit ribosomal RNA", at positions 338 to 795 of the family's 1533-position model. The record is from RNAcentral.